RNAcentral lists this ribosomal RNA (508 nucleotides) under uncultured bacterium. Its description in RNAcentral is "partial 16S ribosomal RNA". It matches the Rfam family "Bacterial small subunit ribosomal RNA", at positions 28 to 523 of the family's 1533-position model. The record is from RNAcentral.
GAUGAACGCUAGCUACAGGCUUAACACAUGCAAGUCGAGGGGAAACGACAUCGAAAGCUUGCUUUUGAUGGGCGUCGACCGGCACACGGGUGAGUAACGCGUAUCCAACCUGCCCACCACUUGGGGAUAACCUUGCGAAAGUAAGACUAAUACCCAAUGGCGUCUCUAGAAGACAUCUGAAAGAGAUUAAAGAUUUAUCGGUGAUGGAUGGGGAUGCGUCUGAUUAGCUUGUUGGCGGGGUAACGGCCAACCAAGGGGACGAUCAGUAGGGGUUCUGAGAGGAAGGUCCCCAACAUUGGAAACGAGACACGGUCAAAACUCCUACGGGAGGCAGCAGUGAGGAAUAUUGGUCAAUGGGCGAGAGCCUGAACCAGCCAAGUAGCGUGCAGGAUGACGGCCCUAUGGGUUGUAAACUGCUUUUAUAAGGGAAUAAAGUGAGUCUCGUGAGACUUUUUGCAUGUACCUUAUGAAUAAGGACCGGCUAACUCCGUGCCAGCCGCCGCAGUAA